This is a non-coding RNA of Pelobates cultripes (western spadefoot toad), 209 nucleotides long. The record is from the annotation of a GenBank genome assembly. NCBI's taxonomy places the organism in Eukaryota, Metazoa, Chordata, Amphibia, Anura, Pelobatidae.
CUUGCCUGGAAAUUAUAGACCUGUGAGCUUACCUUCUGUGGCUGUGAAAAUAUUUGAAAGGUUAUUAAGGGAUAAUAUUCAAUAAUUCCUUAAGAACAUGGUUAUCAGCAAAAAUCAGCACUGUUUUAUGAAGCACAGGUCAUGUCAAACUAACUUGAUUGCGUUCUACGAAUAAGUAAGUAGAAGUAUAGAUCGGGGUGUUGCAGUGG